GACGAACGCUGGCGGCGUGCUUAACACAUGCAAGUCGAACGGAAAGGCCCUGCUUUUGUGGGGUGCUCGAGUGGCGAACGGGUGAGUAACACGUGAGUAACCUGCCCUUGACUUUGGGAUAACUUCAGGAAACUGGGGCUAAUACCGGAUAGGAGCUCCUGCUGCAUGGUGGGGGUUGGAAAGUUUCGGCGGUUGGGGAUGGACUCGCGGCUUAUCAGCUUGUUGGUGGGGUAGUGGCUUACCAAGGCUUUGACGGGUAGCCGGCCUGAGAGGGUGACCGGCCACAUUGGGACUGAGAUACGGCCCAGACUCCUACGGGAGGCAGCAGUGGGGAAUAUUGCACAAUGGGCGGAAGCCUGAUGCAGCAACGCCGCGUGCGGGAUGACGGCCUUCGGGCUGUAAACCGCUUUCGCCUGUGACGAAGCGUGAGUGACGGUAAUGGGUAAAGAAGCACCAGCUAACUACGUG
Molecule: ribosomal RNA, 468 nt
Filed under: uncultured bacterium
Lineage: Bacteria
Description: partial 16S ribosomal RNA
Rfam family: Bacterial small subunit ribosomal RNA
Source: RNAcentral